Molecule: non-coding RNA, 30 nt
Filed under: Mus musculus (house mouse)
Lineage: Eukaryota; Metazoa; Chordata; Mammalia; Rodentia; Muridae
Source: RNAcentral
UACAUUGUUUUUGUUUUGAAGGUUUUCACU